GCUUGUCUCAAAGAUUAAGCCAUGCAUGUUCAAGUAUAGCAAGUGUACAGUGAAACUGCGAAUGGCUCAUUAAAUCAGUUAUAAUUUAUUUGAUAGUGAAAUUGUACAUGGAUAACCGUGGCAAUUCUAGAGCUAAUACAUGCGUAAAGGGUGCUGAAAGGCAUCUGUGUUUAUUAGAUACAACCAACCCCUCGCGGGUUUAGGUGAUUCAUAAUAACCGAACGAACCGCGUUCAGCGGUGAUUCUUUCUACAUUAUUCCCUAUCAGCUUUCGUUUUUUGUGUAGUGGACAAAAAAGGCUUUGACGGGUAACGGAGAAUUAGGGUUCGAUUCCGGAGAGGGAGCCUGAGAGAUGGCUACCACAUCCAAGGAAGGCAGCAGG
This 381-nucleotide ribosomal RNA is filed under the name uncultured Bicosoecida. Its description in RNAcentral is "partial small subunit ribosomal RNA". It matches the Rfam family "Eukaryotic small subunit ribosomal RNA", at positions 30 to 432 of the family's 1831-position model. Lineage: Eukaryota; Bigyra; Bicosoecida. The record is from RNAcentral.